CAUCAAUCUUUGAGACCCAGCCUCAGAGCCCCGCCCUCGUGUUCCAACUCCAGAUCAUGGAUGUAAAAAUUCCGUUGACCGUCGCAGAAAUGUAGUUUGUGUACUAGCAUCUACCAUCGCCCACCGAUCACCACCUGUUAUACAGCCCAAAGCAUACUUACAUCUCUCUCGCGACUAUGUAUUCUAUCACCUCCUUGAUCCCUUCAAGCAUAACCCUCUUCAUCCUCUCUGUAUCCCUUCACUAUCAUAUUCAUAUCCACAAGAAAGGGCCUUUUCCCCACGCCUCCACUCUCAUAAAAGUCAAUAACUACAUCUACUCCUUCGUUUCCCUGCUAUUCUUCAUCGCCCUCGU
RNAcentral lists this small RNA (352 nucleotides) under Histoplasma ohiense. RNAcentral's name for it is "hypothetical lncRNA". The record is from RNAcentral. Lineage: Eukaryota; Fungi; Ascomycota; Eurotiomycetes; Onygenales; Ajellomycetaceae.